This is a long non-coding RNA of Hevea brasiliensis (rubber tree), 856 nucleotides long. RefSeq lists it as uncharacterized. NCBI's taxonomy places the organism in Eukaryota, Viridiplantae, Streptophyta, Magnoliopsida, Malpighiales, Euphorbiaceae. The transcript has 3 exons. The record is from RefSeq and is a predicted model, not a curated record.
GAACUAGGCAUUCCCAUAUGGAAAAGAAAGAUAGGAAUAGAAUAGGUCAGCUAUAGUAAAACAAUAGAAAGUAUUUACUACUUUUGAUUGUAGAGUUAUAACAUUGCAUGAAGUAUCCACACUAAUGGUUGAAGUACCAAAAUGUAUAUAUAUAUAUAUAUAUAUAUAUAGAUAGAUAGAUAGAUAGAUAGAUAGAUAAAAGAAGAAGAAGAAGAACAAGUGCAAAAGAAGAAGAUGUACUCAGGGUUUUGUCUUAUCAAUCUGGUGCUUUUGGUACAAGAUUAGUUGGAAGAAAAUGUAUACCUGAACCAAGAACAUUGACCUUGGAGGGAUCUUCAUGUAGUGUCCAAGCUUGAAAUCAUUGAGGAAAGAGACAGCCUGCGCCAUGCUCAUAUAACCAUAGGUUUUGAAGCAGACAUUGGCUAUUGGUCUUCCUGGAUAUAUGAUACCCAUAACAUACUCUGUGAUUAUGUUCAGCCCUGGUGUCUAUGCAUGAAGUACAAGUUAUGAUGCUAAUUGGAAGGGUGAAGAAGAAAGCUAUAGCACUGGCGAAGAGGAGUCCCCACCAUGGCAUCUGAACCUGAUCAUUCAAGACUAUGCAGAGAACAAGCGAAACUGCAAGCGUGACAGCCAGCAGCAAGUGAAACCACCAAGAAGGUAUGUCCUUGUAUCUUCUCAUCAAUUUGGUAUGGAUAUCCUCCUUGCCCUUAUAAGAAGCAUGGUAUCGCUCAUAAAUCACCCUGUGAAUUGUAAGUCAUACACUAGAAUGUGAUCAUGUGUAAAUCCACAUUUCCAACUGAAAGAUUUGUAAUGAGAAAUAAGGUGAUUCUAAUUAAUUGUUGACAAUUGUUAAGUA